RNAcentral lists this ribosomal RNA (474 nucleotides) under bacterium E-1-0-4G. RNAcentral describes it as "bacterial SSU rRNA". It matches the Rfam family "Bacterial small subunit ribosomal RNA", at positions 469 to 942 of the family's 1533-position model. The record is from RNAcentral.
UGGACGUUACUCGCAGAAUAAGCACCGGCUAACUCUGUGCCAGCAGCCGCGGUAAUACAGAGGGUGCAAGCGUUAAUCGGAUUUACUGGGCGUAAAGCGCGCGUAGGUGGCCAAUUAAGUCAAAUGUGAAAUCCCCGAGCUUAACUUGGGAAUUGCAUUCGAUACUGGUUGGCUAGAGUAUGGGAGAGGAUGGUAGAAUUCCAGGUGUAGCGGUGAAAUGCGUAGAGAUCUGGAGGAAUACCGAUGGCGAAGGCAGCCAUCUGGCCUAAUACUGACACUGAGGUGCGAAAGCAUGGGGAGCAAACAGGAUUAGAUACCCUGGUAGUCCAUGCCGUAAACGAUGUCUACUAGCCGUUGGGGCCUUUGAGGCUUUAGUGGCGCAGCUAACGCGAUAAGUAGACCGCCUGGGGAGUACGGUCGCAAGACUANNACUCAAAUGAAUAGACNGGGGCCCGCACAAGCGGUGGAGCAUGU